This is a long non-coding RNA of Linepithema humile (Argentine ant), 881 nucleotides long. RefSeq lists it as uncharacterized. The record is from RefSeq and is a predicted model, not a curated record. NCBI's taxonomy places the organism in Eukaryota, Metazoa, Arthropoda, Insecta, Hymenoptera, Formicidae.
AUAUAAUGUGUAAAACAGUAUCUAGUUCCUGUAGCGAUAUUUUAGCUGCGCUCGUAAUUUGAAAUAUCUCAAUAUCGAAAUGUUUAUAGUUACCCGCGCAAAUUGCCUAUUUUUGUGGCCGCCAUGACGAUUUUUCCUUCUAUCAGUUUGGAGUGCAAAGCACGAACGCUUCGUGAUAAUUGCGUAUUUUUUCCGUUAAUAGUGCAUUAUUGUGUAAAUUUUUGUUGGAAGUAUCGAGUAAAGUGACGGGUGAUUGCCGGUACGUAUUAUAUAUGGUGAGUGUGUGCAAGUAAUUGCGUUUCGUCGAUCGCUAAAUACUACGAAUGUAGCUUUGCGCAAUGGGCUGAAGUAGGUACUGGUACAAUUUCAUUCAUCGGAAUGGCAUCGGAGAAAAAUACAGUUGUGUUGUGUGUGUUCUGUAUGUAACGACCGCCGCGUAAUCUCCAAGGUCGUUAUAUGUUGGCUCGAAAUGUGUGCAUAACGGCGGGUGGACUGCCGAAGUUGUAAACAAUUAUGUACGCGAUUGCGUUGCAGUUUUCGUUUUACUUCGCGUUUUGUGUACCGUGGCGUGGCAAAUUCGCGACGUGAAUCCAUGAUUUUCGUAUUUUUUUAAAAGUGAAAAGUGCGGGUUAACUUUUGUCCGACAGUCAACGUAAUUAAUUAAGUUUUUUGAUCAUGGAGCUGAUACAGAGUAGUCUAAAAUGGAACCUACCAAAGAUGAAGCAAACUACAAUACCCUAGUGGGUGUAGCUGAAAACGUACUUAACUAGGGUACAACGACUGAGUGAGUAAUAUUCUUUUUAUUAUAUUUACAUAAUCACAUACAAAAUACUGAUAUCAUUCGCUGCUUGUCAUUCAUGCAACGAAUAAUUAUUAUAUAA